AACAUAAUUAAAACAGAACAGUAAAAAUACAGUUUUUAUACAUGUACUAUAACUUCCAAACUACACAUCCAAUCUUCAUAAAAAUUACAUAUUUGGAAUCAAUCCAUUAAGGGGAGCAACAUAUUAAAAACUGGCACAAAUCAGACAAGGGGUUCAAAAGUUAGCAAAAGUGUCUUUUGGGGCCUGGCUGGCAGCAUGGUUUUCUGGCCCAAACCGGAUUUACAGAGGCCUCUAUCCUGGACAAUGGGGAAAGUAAUCCAAUUAUCCAGGGAUAGAGGCAGACUCCAU
This is a non-coding RNA of Pelobates cultripes (western spadefoot toad), 288 nucleotides long. The record is from the annotation of a GenBank genome assembly. Lineage: Eukaryota; Metazoa; Chordata; Amphibia; Anura; Pelobatidae.